Long non-coding RNA from Fukomys damarensis (Damara mole-rat), 703 nucleotides. RefSeq lists it as uncharacterized. NCBI's taxonomy places the organism in Eukaryota, Metazoa, Chordata, Mammalia, Rodentia, Bathyergidae. The record is from RefSeq and is a predicted model, not a curated record. The transcript is spliced from 3 exons.
GUCAGAUGUCAAUCUUGCUGUUCUCAACAGAACCUAGAUGUGUAAGGAAUUGCAGAGUCCCUCCACAUGUAUCUACUGACUAGACUGGAAGCACCUAGUCACUGGCUCUAUUGACCUUAAGACAGAAGAGGCCUAAAAUGGAAUUCUGCUCCCAUGGGUGUGUCUGAGAGGAGCACAUGGCUGGGGUCACAGAAGCAAGUGUGAGCAAAGGAACAAGGAGUAGCUCAAAGAACACAGCCUAAGGGACAAGGCAGCCAUGUGAGGCCAACAUGAACCAGAUAAGGCAACACCCUUCAGGAACAGAGGGUACCCAGAGUUAGAGUCUGAGUUCAAAUCUCUUACUCUAGGUUGUCACAUGAAGUACACAUGGACUCAUUUUUCAUGUUCUGAGACCCCUACUGCUGCUUUGUUCCAAGAUGCUUGCGGAGGUCACAGUUUUCAAAUCACUUUUGGUUCCAGAGCCUGCACCCAGUGACACGCAGUAUUUGUGGGUACAUUGAGGUCCUGAUAGUGGUACCCCUCCUCCCGCCACUCCUCCCAAUUUCCACGAGCAAGAGAGAAAGAAGUCAACUCACAUGGCUGGCUUUGAACUGAGCCAAACUGUGCACCCCAACCCAGCCCACACUGCUCUCUUCAACUAAAAGCCAAACCAAACCCAAGUGCUACUUUUCAAAUGUUGCCACUAACCAAACCAAAGAUUUUC